RNAcentral lists this transfer RNA (87 nucleotides) under Chitinispirillum alkaliphilum. RNAcentral's name for it is "tRNA-Ser". It matches the Rfam family "tRNA". From Rfam's summary of the family: Transfer RNA (tRNA) molecules are approximately 80 nucleotides in length. Their secondary structure includes four short double-helical elements and three loops (D, anti-codon, and T loops). Lineage: Bacteria; Pseudomonadati; Fibrobacterota; Chitinispirillia; Chitinispirillales; Chitinispirillaceae. The record is from RNAcentral.
GGAGAGGUGCCCGAGUGGUUGAAGGGGGCGGUCUCGAAAACCGCUGUACCCGCAGGGGUACCCAGGGUUCGAAUCCCUGCCUCUCCG